Molecule: transfer RNA, 85 nt
Filed under: Candidatus Pelagibacterales bacterium
Lineage: Bacteria; Pseudomonadati; Pseudomonadota; Alphaproteobacteria; Candidatus Pelagibacterales
Description: tRNA-Tyr
Source: RNAcentral
AGUCGGGUAGUCCCGUAGGGGGCGGAGUGAGAUCGUAAGUCUCAUAGGCAAAUGCCUCUCGGUGGUUCGACUCCACUCCCGACUA